Molecule: ribosomal RNA, 461 nt
Filed under: uncultured bacterium
Lineage: Bacteria
Description: bacterial SSU rRNA
Rfam family: Bacterial small subunit ribosomal RNA
Source: RNAcentral
ACUCCUACGGGAGGCAGCAGUAGGGAAUUUUCGGCAAUGGGGGNAACCCUGACCGAGCAACGCCGCGUGAACGACGAAGUACUUCGGUAUGUAAAGUUCUUUUAUCAGGGAAGAAUGGCUUACGGAAAAGUGAGCGUGACGGUACCUNNUGAAUAAGCCCCGGCUAACUAUGUGCCAGCAGCCGCGGUAAUACAUAGGGGGCAAGCGUUAUCCGGAAUUAUUGGGCGUAAAGGGUGCGUAGGUGGCCGUUUAAGUCUUUGGUGUAAGUGCAAGGCUCAACCUUGUGAUGCUAAAGAAACUGGNNGGCUUGAGUGUGGUAGAGGCNAGUGGAAUUCCAUGUGUAGCGGUAAAAUGCGUAAAUAUAUGGAGGAACACCGGUGGCGAAGGCGGCUUGCUGGGCCACAACUGACACUGAGGCACGAAAGCGUGGGGAGCAAACAGGAUUAGAUACCCUGGUAGUC